Molecule: non-coding RNA, 215 nt
Organism: Pelobates cultripes (western spadefoot toad)
Lineage: Eukaryota; Metazoa; Chordata; Amphibia; Anura; Pelobatidae
Source: the annotation of a GenBank genome assembly
CCUGCUUGAUCUAUCGUUGUGUUGCCAUAGGUCCCCCUAAGGUGAUAAGUUACGUGUAGUUAUCUUGCUGUUACAUAGCAUGCUCAGCUCUAAUUGGUGUACUAUGGUCGCUUAUUUCGUGUAAGUGGGUCCUAGUGGUGGCCCUGGCGACACAGGUUUGUACCACACUACUCGCUAAUGUGUCCCUAGUCCAGGGCAUUGUGGCUGGGUGUGUU